This 481-nucleotide ribosomal RNA is filed under the name uncultured bacterium. RNAcentral's name for it is "bacterial SSU rRNA". It matches the Rfam family "Bacterial small subunit ribosomal RNA", at positions 30 to 507 of the family's 1533-position model. The record is from RNAcentral.
AUUGAACGCUGGCGGAAUGCUUUACACAUGCAAGUCGAACGGUAGAGGGGGCAACCCCUCGAGAGUGGCGAACGGGUGAGUAAUAUAUCGGAACGUGCCCAGUCGUGGGGGAUAACGUAGCGAAAGUUACGCUAAUACCGCAUACGAUCUACGGAUGAAAGCGGGGGACUCGCAAGAGCCUCGCGCGAUUGGAGCGGCCGAUAUCAGAUUAGGUAGUUGGUGGGGUAAAGGCUCACCAAGCCAACGAUCUGUAGCUGGUCUGAGAGGACGACCAGCCACACUGGAACUGAGACACGGUCCAGACUCCUACGGGAGGCAGCAGUGGGGAAUUUUGGACAAUGGACGCAAGUCUGAUCCAGCCAUUCCGCGUGCAGGAUGAAGGCCCUCGGGUUGUAAACUGCUUUUGUACGGAACGAAAAGGUCUCUAUUAAUACUAGGGCUCAUGACGGUACCGUAAGAAUAAGCACCGGCUAACUACGUG